RNAcentral lists this long non-coding RNA (1194 nucleotides) under Dromaius novaehollandiae (emu). RNAcentral describes it as "lncRNA (ENSDNVG00000010102.1)". Lineage: Eukaryota; Metazoa; Chordata; Aves; Casuariiformes; Dromaiidae. The record is from RNAcentral.
AAUAAUGUCAUUUUAGGAGCACAGUUUUACCAUUUUAUAUGAAGAUUAGCAAGUAAAAGCUGAAUACAUAUCAGAAACGAGGUGAGAAAGUGUUGUUUUUGCAAAAAAAACCCAGACACACACACACACUUUUGAGGCUUUCCAGGCUGCUGGAUCCAAAUAUGAGGAUAAUACAUACAAAAACACUGAAAAUGAGGGAGCAUCAGUGUGGAAAUUAGUAUAUUCUAAUGGGAGAAUUAAAGGAAAUGCAGCUGUGCUUGCUUUCCCUACUGAUCCCUAGCCUUGAAAUUCCUCUAAAUUAAAUUGUAAAAAAGUGAUCUCAUUUUCUGUUUUCUACUAGGCUAUGCAGUUAAUCCCUGAUACAGAAAAAUAUUAAGAAUACCUAUAUUUAGCAAGGACCAUCAGUAACAGACCAAGAGCAGCCUGCUCCUUCCAGCAGCAGCGUCCUCACUUCUCCUUGGGGCAGGCUGGCCCUGAAGUACUCUUCAGCCUAGCACAGCAGUGUGAUAUGCUGGCACAGUGAGGUUCCCGGCAACGCGGACAGACAAGGGAGCACAACUGUCAGCCUCCUCCUUCCUGAGUUCCUUGCCUGCAAGAAUGUCUCUUCACAUGGAAAGCCAGCGGCCACUAAUUUGGUCACCAACCUCUGCCCCGUGAACUCCGUCCGAGUCAGAGGCAGAGGUGUGGGAAAGGGAACUGUCACAUUCACCCCGAAGGAGCCGCCAAGGUGGCUGGAGAGGAUGACAGGCUGAGGACUCGGCCAGGUGCUCAUGUGGAAGCCUGAGAGACAUCUUCCACCUCUCCAAGAGAAGGGAGGUUCCCCACUUCCUUUUGUGUGAUGGGGAUCCAGGGGCAUAUUGGUGCGGGAGCUGAAUGGAGACAAUUUCCACUGCCAAGGCUGCUCUGGUCCUGAGGCUGAGACACACCAUCUGGAAGCUGGACCUGUGGACAAUGCCACUGCUCAAAAAGUGCCUUGUAGUCAUGGGUCUCUUCAUUACCAUCAUUGCUGAUGCCUCCCUAGCUUCUAGCCAUGCAGCAUCUGUUUCUAAACUUGGAGGGGUUCACCACUAAUUAAGGAAUAUUCCUUCCUUCAGCUGACCUAUUUUGUUUCCUUGCUUAGCUCUAGAGAAGCUGGUGGUUGAAUUGCCUCUGGCUCACCUUAAUCAACUCCAUUUAUUUAAGGAGUUUAAGUUG